GCCUUCCGAGUUCCCUGGAACGGGACGCCAUAGAGGGUGAGAGCCCCGUCCGGUCGUGCGCCUAGCCUCUGUAAAGCUCCUUCGACGAGUCGAGUAGUUUGGGAAUGCUGCUCUAAAUGGGAGGUAUACGUCUUCUAAAGCUAAAUACCGGCCAGAGACCGAUAGCGCACAAGUAGAGUGAUCGAAAGAUGAAAAGCACUUUGAAAAGAGGGUUAAAUAGUACGUGAAAUUGCUGAAAGGGAAGCGCUUAUGACCAGACUUGGGCGCGGCGGAUCAUCCGGCGUUCUCGCCGGUGCACUCCACCGCCCCAGGCCAGCAUCAGUUCGCGCCGGGGGACAAAGGCUUCGGGAAUGUGGCUCCCUCGGGAGUGUUAUAGCCCGCUGCGUAAUACCCUGGCGCGGACUGAGGUCCGCGCUCUGCAAGGAUGCUGGCGUAAUGGUCAUCAGUGACCCGUCUUGAAACACGGACCAAGGAGUCGUCUUCGUAUGCGAGUGUUCGGGUGUCAAACCCCUACGCGGAAUGAAAGUGAACGUAGGAGAGAGCUUCGGCGCAU
RNAcentral lists this ribosomal RNA (553 nucleotides) under Emericellopsis terricola. RNAcentral's name for it is "eukaryotic LSU rRNA". It matches the Rfam family "Eukaryotic large subunit ribosomal RNA", at positions 176 to 758 of the family's 3401-position model. The record is from RNAcentral. Lineage: Eukaryota; Fungi; Ascomycota; Sordariomycetes; Hypocreales; Bionectriaceae.